ACCGAAUAGAUACCCAGGUAGUCCACGCCCUAAACGAUGCGAACUGGAUGUUGGGUACAUUACGGUACUCAGUGUCGAAAGCUAAACGCGUUAAGUUCGCCGCCUGGGGAGUACGGUCGCAAGACUGAAACUCAAAGGAAUUGACGGGGGCCCGGCACAAGCGGUGGAGUAUGUGGUUUAAUUACGAUGCAACGCGAAGAACCUUACCUGGCCUUGACAUCUGUCGAAUCCUGCAGAGAUGCGGGAGUGCCGCAAGGAACGACAAGACAGGUGCUGCAUGGCUGUCGUCAGCUCGUGUCGUGAGAUGUUGGGUUAAGUUCCCGCAACGAGCGCAACCCGUUGUCCCUAGUUGCCAGCACAUCAUGGUGGGUAACUCUAGGGUAGACUGCCGGUGACAAACCGGAGGAAGGUGGGGUAUGACGUCAAGUCCUCAUGGCCCGUUA
This 443-nucleotide ribosomal RNA is filed under the name uncultured bacterium. Its description in RNAcentral is "bacterial SSU rRNA". It matches the Rfam family "Bacterial small subunit ribosomal RNA", at positions 772 to 1205 of the family's 1533-position model. The record is from RNAcentral.